This is a long non-coding RNA of Solea senegalensis (Senegalese sole), 1343 nucleotides long. RefSeq lists it as uncharacterized. NCBI's taxonomy places the organism in Eukaryota, Metazoa, Chordata, Actinopteri, Pleuronectiformes, Soleidae. The transcript has 3 exons. The record is from RefSeq and is a predicted model, not a curated record.
ACGUAUCUGCACAGAAUGAAAAAGAUAAGUUGUACUUUCUUUUAUUAAACAAUUUAUUCCCACAAUUAUUUAAAAAUUCAGCUCCAACUUCUCUCCUUGUUUAACUGAAACCUUUUUGUUUUGGUGCAGUGAUGCAAGAUUUGCCAUGUCAGGUGUAUCUUUACUGAGAUGUCAAUAUGGGUAAAAUAGAUAUUGCAAAAGACGUGUACAUAUCACAAUCACUCAGUGUGUUUACUUGCAGGUUAAAAGUCUAAAUUUUGGUUGGACUAAGACAAUAAUUUGGAUUUUCUUAAUGUCAUGUAAACACAUAACCACUUUUGCAUACUUUUAUCACAAAUGUUAUUAUCAUUUUAAUAUUAAACAAUGCUGCUGGAUGUUUUCCUGCCGCAAUAAUUCAUUAUCACAUUUCAGGCAAGGAAAAGCCACCAGUUUGUUUACAUUGCAAUUCCACACAGCCACCACUAGGUGUUAGUCAAAAGUCAUGUGUCCUUCCACUUUUCCUUAACUUGUGUCUGUGCAAAAGCCAGAUUUUCAAACAUGUUCAAAAGGUAACGUUCAAAGUCGAUGCAUCUCUACAGUCACUGCUCAGGGGAGGAGGCUAUCCCAGCAUGCACUGAGAGGAAAAUGCCGUGUUUCUUUUUCCUUACCCUGGAGAAUAACUUGUAUUUGGGCAUCGCCGUCAGCUCGAGUCUCCAUUUCAAGGAUGUCCAGCGCCAACAAGUCCACCGGCUCUGCUGACACCUGAGGAGAAUCACAACAAAAGUAGGAGGAGGGACCUCCAGGGGUCAGCAUGGCCAUUAUCCUCAGCCAGGAGGAGUUCUGCUGGGAUGGGACAUUCUUCUUUCUGCUCCUCCUCCUCCACACAACCAUCAAGAAACAAGGGACCUGUGGAGAAGAAGGGGGGAGGGGUUAAGUCAGUGAGUUUUCACCCUGCACACAUUCCGUGCAUCGGUUAGUAAAUAAAUGCACAUGCACACACAUCUGCUUGCACAUUGCACAAGUAACUACUCUGUCCUCGUGUCGUGCACACCAUGCAGAUGUUAUAAACGUGGACGUAAACAGGAAACAGAAGCUUGAAAAGCACGUACCGCUAAUGUCCAGCAGUGAACAGAUACUUGCGUCCACUUGCACUCCGACGCUGCGUUUACUCUCCGCGGGUGAAACGUUCAGUGUCUCCUCCGCUCCGUGUUCAAGCUUGAUCUCGGCGUGGGCCGCGUCCACGGCAGCAGUUCUGUAUCUGCUCUCGAACAGUCUGGUUAACUCCACGGUGGCCGCUUUGACCAACGCGCCCAGCACCGACUCCACCUGCGCGUGCAGGCUCGACACGUCCGCGGACAUUCUCA